Homo sapiens (human) is the source of this 1610-nucleotide long non-coding RNA. Ensembl annotates it as Pvt1 oncogene. Its record names the gene PVT1. Lineage: Eukaryota; Metazoa; Chordata; Mammalia; Primates; Hominidae. The record is from Ensembl.
GGGCAGAGCGCGUGUGGCGGCCGAGCACAUGGGCCCGCGGGCCGGGCGGGCUCGGGGCGGCCGGGACGAGGAGGGGCGACGACGAGCUGCGAGCAAAGAUGUGCCCCGGGACCCCCGGCACCUUCCAGUGGAUUUCCUUGCGGAAAGGAUGUUGGCGGUCCCUGUGACCUGUGGAGACACGGCCAGAUCUGCCCUCCAGCCUGAUCUUUUGGCCAGAAGGAGAUUAAAAAGAUGCCCCUCAAGAUGGCUGUGCCUGUCAGCUGCAUGGAGCUUCGUUCAAGUAUUUUCUGAGCCUGAUGGAUUUACAGUGAUCUUCAGUGGUCUGGGGAAUAACGCUGGUGGAACCAUGCACUGGAAUGACACACGCCCGGCACAUUUCAGGAUACUAAAAGUGGUUUUAAGGGAGGCUGUGGCUGAAUGCCUCAUGGAUUCUUACAGCUUGGAUGUCCAUGGGGGACGAAGGACUGCAGCUGGCUGAGAGGGUUGAGAUCUCUGUUUACUUAGAUCUCUGCCAACUUCCUUUGGGUCUCCCUAUGGAAUGUAAGACCCCGACUCUUCCUGGUGAAGCAUCUGAUGCACGUUCCAUCCGGCGCUCAGCUGGGCUUGAGAAUCCUGUUACACCUGGGAUUUAGGCACUUUCAAUCUGAAAAAAUACAUAUCCUUUCAGCACUCUGGACGGACUUGAGAACUGUCCUUACGUGACCUAAAGCUGGAGUAUUUUGAGAUUGGAGAAUUAAGGCCAACAGAGAUUUUGAGAAACACAUUGAAGGAUCUGUUAACACUUGAUAUACCCAAUAAAAGCAGUGGUUGUGCCAGUGCUGAUCUGUCUUGAUGUGAAUGUGAACAAUGGGAACCUGAGCUGAGCAGUUAAUGCUAGGGUGACAGAAACUGGACCUCUCCCAAGACAUGUGACAGAGUAAUACAGCAGCCAACUUCUUCGCCAAAUUAAAGUUUUACAAGAUUUAACCUGUCAUCAAGACCUGGGAUUUUGGUGAGCCAGUCUUGGUGCUCUGUGUUCACCUGGUUCAUCUGAGGAGCUGCAUCUACCCUGCCCAUGCCAUAGAUCCUGCCCUGUUUGCUUCUCCUGUUGCUGCUAGUGGACAUGAGGUAACCACAGCCUAGUUCUGUGAUAAGCUCUUCACACCUGUACCCAUAUGGACUGUGGGAGAGUUUCUCUGAUAUGGACUGUGAUGCGGAAGGACAGAAUAACGGGCUCCCAGAUUCACAAGCCCCACCAAGAGGAUCACCCCAGGAACGCUUGGAGGCUGAGGAGUUCACUGAGGCUACUGCAUCUUGAGACUCAGGAUGAAGACCCAGCUUGGGGCUGUCAAAGGUUUUUUGCAUGUCUGACACCCAUGACUCCACCUGGACCUUAUGGCUCCACCCAGAAGCAAUUCAGCCCAACAGGAGGACAGCUUCAACCCAUUACGAUUUCAUCUCUGCCCCAACCACUCAGCAGCAAGCACCUGUUACCUGUCCACCCCCACCCCUUCCCCCAAACUGCCUUUGAAAAAUCCCUAACCUAUGAGCUUUGAAUAAGAUGAGUACGAACUUCAUCGCCCACGUGGCGUGGCCGGCCUCGUGUCUAUUAAAUUCUUUUUCUACUACAA